RNAcentral lists this ribosomal RNA (313 nucleotides) under Limosilactobacillus fermentum. RNAcentral describes it as "bacterial SSU rRNA". It matches the Rfam family "Bacterial small subunit ribosomal RNA", at positions 28 to 302 of the family's 1533-position model. Lineage: Bacteria; Bacillati; Bacillota; Bacilli; Lactobacillales; Lactobacillaceae. The record is from RNAcentral.
GAUGAACGCGGCGGUGUGCCUAAUACAUGCAAGUCGUACGCAGAUGUGGCCCAAUUGAUUGAUGGUGCUUGCACCUGAUUGAUUUUGGUCGCCAACGAGUGGCGGACGGGUGAGUAACACGUAGGUAACCUGCCCAGAAGCGGGGGACAACAUUUGGAAACAGAUGCUAAUACCGCAUAACAACGUUGUUCGCAUGAACAACGCUUAAAAGAUGGCUUCUCGCUAUCACUUCUGGAUGGACCUGCGGUGCAUUAGCUUGUUGGUGGGGUAACGGCCUACCAAGGCGAUGAUGCAUAGCCGAGUUGAGAGACUG